RNAcentral lists this ribosomal RNA (253 nucleotides) under uncultured bacterium. RNAcentral describes it as "partial 16S ribosomal RNA". It matches the Rfam family "Bacterial small subunit ribosomal RNA", at positions 524 to 776 of the family's 1533-position model. The record is from RNAcentral.
UACGUAGGGGGCGAGCGUUGUCCGGAUUUAUUGGGCGUAAAGAGCGUGUAGGCGGCUAGGUAGGUCCGUUGUGAAAACUCGAGGCUCAACCUCGAGACGCCGAUGGAAACCAUCUGGCUAGAGUCCGGAAGAGGAGAGUGGAAUUCCUGGUGUAGCGGUGAAAUGCGCAGAUAUCAGGAAGAACACCCGUGGCUAAGGCGGCUCUCUAGUACGGUACUGACGCUGAGACGCGAAAGCGUGGGGAGCGAACAGG